This 331-nucleotide ribosomal RNA is filed under the name Mytilus galloprovincialis (Mediterranean mussel). RNAcentral describes it as "partial 16S ribosomal RNA". It matches the Rfam family "Bacterial large subunit ribosomal RNA", at positions 1989 to 2566 of the family's 2925-position model. The record is from RNAcentral. Lineage: Eukaryota; Metazoa; Mollusca; Bivalvia; Mytilida; Mytilidae.
GGUAUGAAAGGGUUAACGAAGAAGGUGCUGUGUCUAAAAAUUCAAUUUAAACUAACUUUAAGGUGAAGAGGCCUUUAUGUAAAAGAAGGACGACAAGACCCUAUGAAGCUUUAUCUUAAUUGGAGCUCUCAGGCUCUUAUACGAUUUUGAUGGGAGAUCAGUAGAAAGAAGUCUUCUACUAUCAUAUUAAUCUUACUAGUAUUUCCUAACUUUAUAUGUGUGGCUAGCUACUCUAGGGAUAACAGCGUAAUUUCUCCCGAAAGAUGGUAUUGGAGGGGAAGAUUGCGACCUCGAUGUUGGCUUUAGAUAUCCUAGAGGCGUAGAAGCUUCU